GAAAGUCCCCUCCUUCCUUCCCUUCCUGGUAAUUAUGCAGAGACAUACAUGAAUACUUAUUAUUGUUUGGGGCUUAAAGACAUACUUUGCCUUUUCUGCAUUUCUACUGAAAUAGUAAUUCUUUCAGGGUGAAGCUUCACAUAUGAAGUCUCAAUUCCAGCUGCCACAUCAUUGUGUAUAAAGGCAUCACUCCCUGUGUCCCUGUGGGAAUUUCUUUCCAAUCCCCAAAUUGCUGAGACAAGCACCCUUUCACACUCCAAGGAACUAUGAAUUCUCACUCCAUUUUUUGACACAUGGAGACUUCUCUUUCUUUUUGGGGGUAACAAUAUACUUUAUUGAUGGUACAUGACAAGCAGUCACAAUAAUAAUCUAAAAAGAAAAUUCAUCUGGAAAUCAGAAAACCUGGUUUGCAGAGCUGGGACUGAAGCUUAACCGCACUGAUCAAUGACGUUUUAUCUAAAAUAUACAAGAUAUGCACAUUUAAGACAGUCCGUCUAUUGGAGGGAAAAAAAUUACCGAAACAUGAAAACCAUGAACCAAAACACGCACAUACCUGCAAAUGGAAUUGAUGAAGACACUGGAACAAUGCUCCAUCCCAAUUCAGAGGAACCAUCUAUUGGUUACAUAGCUCUAGACGUAUAUAGAAUUAAAAAAUAAAAUACUGGCACCGAUAUUCUUUGUAGCAUGUGAGAAGUCUAUAUAAUUUUUGGAGUGUUGUGUUUCCAUUUCAAUGAAAUUAAAAAAUAAUUCCCUUCAUUCUUACCUUAGACCACAUUACAAUAAAUACUUCCAAGAGAGUUUAGUGUUCA
This 809-nucleotide long non-coding RNA is filed under the name Vulpes vulpes (red fox). RNAcentral describes it as "lncRNA (ENSVVUG00000014155.1)". Lineage: Eukaryota; Metazoa; Chordata; Mammalia; Carnivora; Canidae. The record is from RNAcentral.